RNAcentral lists this long non-coding RNA (517 nucleotides) under Olea europaea subsp. europaea. The record is from RNAcentral. Lineage: Eukaryota; Viridiplantae; Streptophyta; Magnoliopsida; Lamiales; Oleaceae.
AUUAAUUAUUGAUGUUGAUUUGUUUCUAUUUUUAAUUUUUACAAAUACUAGUGCAAUUUAAUUAAAGUACUUCCAAACACCCUGAUAAAAAUGCAAGAUGAAAUUACAGUUCUACCCUUAUUAUUAACAAAGGGAAACACUUUGAGUUAGGAGUCAACUGCCAUUAAAUCAAAUGCCACACUAUUUUACGCCAAAUUUUGAUCCAUUCACAUUAGGGACUUUAGGGACCUGGCUUUAAUGGGCUUUCGGGCCCUCUUCCUCCUACUCUCGCUCUCGCUAUUCUCCUCCUCUUCCUCCUCCUCGAACUCAAUUUCAUCCUCGAUAUCAGAUUUUUCAAUGUCAAUUUGAGACAAUGAGGAUUGUGUCAUUUCAUGAUGUUGAUCGAUAUUUUUAGACACGUCUCGACUAUUGCUAAUCUGAUUUUUCUCGCCUCUUUUUUUGCCCCAACGUGGUCCAAAACCCGAGUAAUAGUAGAAUUCGUGCGGAUUAGAUGUCAAACCCACCUUCCUGGCCCGGG